GGCAGAAGCAAGAGGAUAUUUUCUCUGAUAUUUACUGUGAGAACCUAGUUCAGUUCCUGGAGAUAAAACUCACAAAAUUGUGGGGAUCCCCAUAUGACUGACCACCCCCUGCUGCCUCCAGAGUUUUAAAGUCUCAGAUUGGUCCACACUGUGCUGCUAGCAAUUCAUCAAUUUCAGCCCCCAUUUAAAGUUUUCUUGACAUGAAGAUCCUAGAGGCAUUUUCUUCAGAACUGAACCAGGGGUAAUCAGUCUCUGUAGGGGAUCACAGCAAACUGCUUCAAGAAAAGCUUCAGGAGUCGCCUGUGUCUUCCCACAACACCUGCUGUCACAGGACUGAUAUUUCUUAACAAGCCCUGCCUCUCCACCCCUGCCUCCAAGACCAGGACUCCGCCCCAUCAGCUGGCCCCUGUGACAUGCUCCCCCAACCCCAAUUAAUUCUUCCUACUGCACUCAAAAAGACAUCGCCACAAGGAAAGGAGACAUUUAUAUAAUUAUUUUUCCUGUACUGUUGGUGCGAAGCCAGUUACCAGGCACUGUGCAGGUAACCCAUGAAUAUCUCUUGAAUUUGCUGAAUCAUAAACUGUCAUCAAAGAGACACAAACCAACUUAGCUCAGCCCACUGAUGGUCUCGAUUGAGUGAUCCUAUAAAAAUAUCAUUAUUUCCUCACUUUUGAGUUGUCCACAUGAGAAAAUGUGGUUAGAGGAAAGCCUUUUUAUUCAACAUGAUCAGGAUGGAUAGCUGGUUGUUUAAGCAAAUAAAAUCUGUUAAUGUAAGAACUCACAAAUACAAAAAUGUAUUUCUCCCUUAUUCAUUUAACCUAACGUAUAUAAAUAUAUGUCCAUUUACCAAUCUUUUUAGGUAGGGC
Molecule: long non-coding RNA, 866 nt
Filed under: Homo sapiens (human)
Lineage: Eukaryota; Metazoa; Chordata; Mammalia; Primates; Hominidae
Description: HSALNT0069513
Source: RNAcentral